This is a long non-coding RNA of Brassica napus (rape), 251 nucleotides long. RefSeq lists it as uncharacterized. The transcript has 2 exons. NCBI's taxonomy places the organism in Eukaryota, Viridiplantae, Streptophyta, Magnoliopsida, Brassicales, Brassicaceae. The record is from RefSeq and is a predicted model, not a curated record.
CGACGAUCCCAGACCCAACCAUCAUUGAUUAGUCUCUAAGUUUCCUUGUAUGCUUCAAAUCAAUAUGAAAAACAAAUAUUCGAACGUUAUAGUCGUCUCCAACAUCAAAUUUUCAACUAAACCAAUGUUUAAGCAAAGCCCAAGAAUUAAGAAGCUUGGAAUAUACUGUGCGUUUUUAUGGCGCGACAUACGAUUAACAAAAAUUACAAAAUGUAAAAUAUUACUAUUGAUUAUAAAUAUCUAUUGCUCUA